GACGGAGGGUGCAAGUGUUAUCCGGAAUCACUGGGCGUAAAGCGUCUGUAGGUGGUUUAAAAAGUCCACUGUUAAAAAUUGAAGCUUAACUUCAAAGAUGCCGUGGAAACUUUUAAACUUGAGUAUGGUAGGGGUAGAGGGAAUUUCCAGUGGAGCGGUGAAAUGCGUAGAUAUUGGAAAGACCACCAAUGGCGAAGGCACUCUACUGGGCCAUUACUGACACUGAGAGACGAAAGCUAGGGGAGCAAAUGGG
Molecule: ribosomal RNA, 253 nt
Filed under: uncultured bacterium
Lineage: Bacteria
Description: partial 16S ribosomal RNA
Rfam family: Bacterial small subunit ribosomal RNA
Source: RNAcentral